GACAGAGGGUGCAAACGUUGCUCGGAAUUACUGGGCGUAAAGCGCGUGUAGGCGGGCAUGCAAGUCGAGUGUGAAAUCCCUGGGCUCAACCCAGGAACUGCAUUCGAAACUGCAUGUCUAGAGUGUCGGAGAGGGAAGCGGAAUUCCUGGUGUAGAGGUGAAAUUCGUAGAUAUCAGGAGGAACACCGGUGGCGAAGGCGGCUUCCUGGACGAUUACUGACGCUGAGACGCGAAGCGUGGGAGCAAACAGG
This 251-nucleotide ribosomal RNA is filed under the name uncultured bacterium. RNAcentral's name for it is "partial 16S ribosomal RNA". It matches the Rfam family "Bacterial small subunit ribosomal RNA", at positions 524 to 776 of the family's 1533-position model. The record is from RNAcentral.